AGAGUUUGAUCCUGGCUCAGAGUGAACGCUGGCGGUGUGCUUAACACAUGCAAGUCGAACGAGAACGGUACUAGCUUGCUAGUAUGUCAGCUAAGUGGCGGACGGGUGAGUAAUGUAUAGUUAAUCUGCCCUUUAGAGAGGAAUAACUACUGGAAACGGUAGCUAAUACCUCAUACUCCUUCUACCUUAAUGGUAGUUGGGAAACGUUUUUUCGCUAAAGGAUGAGACUAUAUGGUAUCAGGUAGUUGGUGGGGUAAGAGCCUACCAAGCCUAUGACGCCUAGCUGGUCUGAGAGGAUGAUCAGCCACACUGGAACUGAGACACGGUCCAGACUCCUACGGGAGGCAGCAGUGGGGAAUAUUGCACAAUGGAGGAAACUCUGAUGCAGCAACACCGCGUGGAGGAUGACACAUUUCGGUGCGUAAACUCCUUUUAUAUGGGAAGAUAAUGACGGUACCAUAUGAAUAAGCACCGCUAACU
Molecule: ribosomal RNA, 480 nt
Filed under: uncultured bacterium
Lineage: Bacteria
Description: bacterial SSU rRNA
Rfam family: Bacterial small subunit ribosomal RNA
Source: RNAcentral